RNAcentral lists this ribosomal RNA (501 nucleotides) under uncultured bacterium. RNAcentral describes it as "partial 16S ribosomal RNA". It matches the Rfam family "Bacterial small subunit ribosomal RNA", at positions 30 to 523 of the family's 1533-position model. The record is from RNAcentral.
AUUGAACGCUGGCGGCAUGCCUUACACAUGCAAGUCGAACGGCAGCACGGGUGCUUGCACCUGGUGGCGAGUGGCGAACGGGUGAGUAAUACAUCGGAACGUACCUUAUCGUGGGGGAUAACGCAGCGAAAGCUGUGCUAAUACCGCAUACGCCCUGAGGGGGAAAGCGGGGGAUCGAAAGACCUCGCGCGAUUAGAGCGGCCGAUGCCUGAUUAGCUUGUUGGUGGGGUAAAAGCCCACCAAGGCAACGAUCAGUAGCUGGUCUGAGAGGACGAUCAGCCACACUGGGACUGAGACACCGCCCAGACUCCUACGGUAGGCAGCAGUGGGGAAUUUUGGACAAUGGGGGCAACCCUGAUCCAGCAAUGCCGCGUGAGUGAAGAAGGCCUUCGGGUUGUAAAGCUCUUUUGUCAGGGAAGAAACACCGGCUCUAACACAGUCCGGGAAUGACGGUACCUGAAGAAUAAGCACCGGCUAACUACGUGCCAGCCGCCGCCGUAA